UGCUCUUUAAAGAAGAUAAUAUUAUUUUUAUUAAAUAUUACCUUUUGCAUAAUGGAUUUAUAAUAAUUCUAGAAAAUUUUCUGAUCACGAAAUGAUAGGAUCUAAUAUUUUUUAAAUUAUAGUUUAGUGUUUGUUUGUGGCAAUAACCCUGAUAAAAAAUAUAUUAGUUGUGAAAGGCUAUCCAACUAUCAUGAUAUCUUGAUUUCUUUGAAAAGUAUUUAGUACUAAAAUCAAGUUUUCUGUGAUUAGGCAUAAAACUUUGUAAUAGUUUUUUAUAAUGAGAAGUAUUCUAGUUUUAAAUAAUCAGAAUGUGAAGAAACAAAUCAUUAAUAAAUAAAUUUACAUUAACAUAUAGAAGAAAACAUGUUAAAGCUAUGUAUUAUGUUUAUAAUGUAAGUAUAAGUAGUUAAAAAAAAUUAAACUAAAUGAACUCGGCAAAACUUUCUUUCAACUGUUUACCAAAAACAUAGUUUAUUGCUUUUUAUAAUAAAUUAUUCCUGCUCCAUGAUAAUUUUAAAUAGCCGCAGUACCCUGACUGUGCUAAGGUAGCAUAAUAAUUUGUCUUUUAAUUGAAGUCUUGAAUGAAUGGAUUUAUGAAGGGAAAACUUUAUUUGGUUUAGAAAACUAAUUUAUUUAGUAAGUGCAAAUUCUUACAAUAUUAAUAUUAGACGAGAAGACCCUAAGAGUUUAGAUAAAUAGUUGAAUCUUAUAAAGCCGUAUCAUUAGGGCUUAUUAUAAGUAGACUAUAAUAUUUAGCUGGGGCGGCUACUUAUCAUUUAGUAACAUAAGUAUAAUUAGUCAUUCAUAAAGAAUUUUUUACAUUUGAAUAAACUACCUUAGGGAUAACAGCAUAAUAUUUAAUAUGAUUGUGACCUCGAUGUUGGACUAGGUAAAUAUAAAGAUUAGAAGUCUUAAUUAUUUGUUCUGUUCGAACAUUUUUACCUACAUGAUCUGAGUUCAGACCGGCGUAAGCCAGGUCAGAUUCUAUCUUUUUAGUUAAUAGUAUAGUACGAAAGGAAAUA
Molecule: ribosomal RNA, 1022 nt
Filed under: Microceramus pontificus
Lineage: Eukaryota; Metazoa; Mollusca; Gastropoda; Stylommatophora; Urocoptidae
Description: 16S ribosomal RNA
Source: RNAcentral